This 252-nucleotide ribosomal RNA is filed under the name Limosilactobacillus reuteri. RNAcentral describes it as "Lactobacillus reuteri partial 23S ribosomal RNA". It matches the Rfam family "Bacterial large subunit ribosomal RNA", at positions 1325 to 1573 of the family's 2925-position model. Lineage: Bacteria; Bacillati; Bacillota; Bacilli; Lactobacillales; Lactobacillaceae. The record is from RNAcentral.
GAAUCCUGUCCACCGAAUGACUAAGGUUUCCUGGGGAAGGCUCGUCCUCCCAGGGUAAGUCGGGACCUAAGCCGAGGCCGAGAGGCGUAGGCGAUGGAUAACAGGUUGAGAUUCCUGUACCAGUUAACUGCGUUUGACGAUGGAGGGACGCAGGAGGCUAAGCAAACCGUACGACUGGAAGAGUACGGCCAAGCAGUAAGUCAGGAUGUGAGUCAAAUGUUUACAUCCGUGUUGACAAGCUGUGAUGGGGAG